This 585-nucleotide ribosomal RNA is filed under the name uncultured bacterium. RNAcentral describes it as "partial 16S ribosomal RNA". It matches the Rfam family "Bacterial small subunit ribosomal RNA", at positions 355 to 1375 of the family's 1533-position model. The record is from RNAcentral.
UGGGGAAUUUUGGACAAUGGGCGAAAGCCUGAUCCAGCAAUGCCGCGUGUGUGAAGAAGGCCUUCGGGUUGUAAAGCACUUUUGUCCGGAAAGAGAUCCUCUGGGUUAAUACCUCGGGGGGAUGACGGUACCGGAAGAAUAAGCACCGGCUAACUACGUGCCAGCAGCCGCGGUAAUACGUAGGGUGCAAGCGUUAAUCGGAAUUACUGGGCGUAAAGCGUGCGCAGGCGGUUUUGUAAGACGGAUGUGAAAUCCCCGGGCUUAACCUGGGAACUGCAUUCGUGACUGCAAGGCUAGAGUAUGGCAGAGGGGGGUAGAAUUCCACGUGUAGCAGUGAAAUGCGUAGAGAUGUGGAGGAAUACCGAUGGCGAAGGCAGCCCCCUGGGCCAAUACUGACGCUCAUGCACGAAAGCGUGGGGAGCAAACAGGAUUAGAUACCCUGGUAGUCCACGCCCUAAACGAUGUCAACUAGUUGUUGGGGAUUCAUUUCCUUAGUAACGUAGCUAACGCGUGAAGUUGACCGCCUGGGGAGUACGGUCGCAAUAUUAAAACUCAAAUGAAUUGACGGGGUCAUAGCUGUUUCCU